GCAGUCGUGGCCGAGUGGUUAAGGCGAUGAACUAUAAAUCCAUUGGGGUCUCCCCGCACAGGUUCGAAUCCUGUCGACUGCG
This is a non-coding RNA of Ixodes scapularis (black-legged tick), 82 nucleotides long. Lineage: Eukaryota; Metazoa; Arthropoda; Arachnida; Ixodida; Ixodidae. The record is from Rfam.